AAAGGUGUCUAUAACCGGGGGGAUCCACCUCUUUCCAUUCCGAACAGAGAAGUUAAGCCCCUGAGUGCCGAUGGUACUGCCUUAUAGUGGGAGAGUAGGUUGGCGCCGAAU
This 111-nucleotide ribosomal RNA is filed under the name Odoribacter splanchnicus. Lineage: Bacteria; Pseudomonadati; Bacteroidota; Bacteroidia; Bacteroidales; Odoribacteraceae. The record is from RNAcentral.